CGGCGAGUGAAGCGGCAACAGCUCAAAUUUGAAAUCUGGCCCCAGGCCCGAGUUGUAAUUUGCAGAGGAUGCUUCGGGCGCGGUGCCUUCCAAGUCCCCUGGAACGGGGCGCCACAGAGGGUGAGAGCCCCGUCUGGUAGGACACCUAGCCUGUGUGAAGCUCCUUCGACGAGUCGAGUAGUUUGGGAAUGCUGCUCUAAAUGGGAGGUAGACCCCUUCUAAAGCUAAAUACCGGCCAGAGACCGAUAGCGCACAAGUAGAGUGAUCGAAAGAUGAAAAGCACUUUGAAAAGAGGGUUAAACAGUACGUGAAAUUGUUGAAAGGGAAGCGCUUGUGACCAGACGUGCGCCGGGCGUUCAGCGGGCGUUCUCGCCCGUGUAUUCGCCCCGGCGCAGGCCAGCGUCGGUUUGGGAGGGGGGAUAAAGGCACCAGGAACGUGGCUCUCUAGGGAGUGUUAUAGCCUGGCGCGUCAUGCCCCCGCCCGGACCGAGGUUCGCGCUCCGCAAGGACGCUGGCGUAAUGGUCUCCAGCGGCCCGUCUUGAAACACGGACCAAGGAGUCGAGGUUUUGCGCGAGUGUUUGGGUGCUAAACCCGCACGCGUAAUGAAAGUGAACGCAGGUGGGAGCUUCGGCGCACCACCGACCGAUCCUGAUGUUCUCGGAUGGAUUUGAGUAGGAGCGUAGGGCCUCGGACCCGAAAGAUGGUGAACUAUACUUGGAUAGGGUGAAGCCAGAGGAAACUCUGGUGGAGGCUCGCAGCGGUUCUGACGUGCAAAUCGAUCGUCAAAUCUGAGUAUGGGGGCGAAAG
Molecule: ribosomal RNA, 808 nt
Filed under: fungal sp. BG115
Lineage: Eukaryota; Fungi
Description: eukaryotic LSU rRNA
Rfam family: Eukaryotic large subunit ribosomal RNA
Source: RNAcentral